Arachis duranensis is the source of this 637-nucleotide long non-coding RNA. RefSeq lists it as uncharacterized. Lineage: Eukaryota; Viridiplantae; Streptophyta; Magnoliopsida; Fabales; Fabaceae. The transcript has 5 exons. The record is from RefSeq and is a predicted model, not a curated record.
UAUAUACUGAGCCUAACGAAUAUUGUUCUUCGAUUCGUCAACAAUUCACGCUACAUGCACAAACUCGCACGCCUUCUCCUUCGAUUCAUCGCCGCAGCUCAUCUCUUCUUCAAGGGUUUUCACCUUCGAUUCAUCGCCGCUCAUCUCUUCUUCACCGUCACCGCUCAUCACUGCGCUCACCAAUGUCAAAGAAACUGUGUGCUCUCUCGCGACCCCUUCUCUGCUUUGCUAUGAAGCAUCAAGGUUUCUGAGGAGGCAAAGCAUCGAUCCCUAACAAGCGAGAAGAUGCGAUGCAAAGAGAAGAGAAGUGCCGCAGUAGUUCGCAUUCACCGUUUGCCCACUCGUUCAAGCUCUGAAGCUAGCCAUCUAAUUAUGAUUAUCUUUUUCCCCUCUUGUCAAUUCAUCAACACAGAAAAAAGAUUGACAAUUCUUAUGGAUUCUGGCAGCAAAAAUAUUAGAAGGGCAUGGAUUAUAGGAAGUCGUGGUGGUGAAGACAGAAUUGUUGUAGGAUAUAAUAUUUUAGUUUUUUCGUAGAGUAUUAGUAGUAAAUUUUAAGUGGUCUCAUAUUUAUUUUAAUAUGACUAUGCUUAAUUUAGUGUGAGAUGUAUGAAUAUUAGUACUUUUGGAUCAUUAUAAA